This 255-nucleotide ribosomal RNA is filed under the name uncultured bacterium. RNAcentral describes it as "partial 16S ribosomal RNA". It matches the Rfam family "Bacterial small subunit ribosomal RNA", at positions 217 to 480 of the family's 1533-position model. The record is from RNAcentral.
GCUAUUGGAAUGGCCGAUAUCUGAUUAGCUAGUUGGUAGGGUAAAAGCCUACCAAGGCGACGAUCAGUAGCUGGUCUGAGAGGACGACCAGCCACACUGGAACUGAGACACGGUCCAGACUCCUACGGGAGGCAGCAGUGGGGAAUUUUGGACAAUGGGGGCAACCCUGAUCCAGCAAAGCCGCGUGAGUGAAGAAGGCCCUCGGGUUGUAAAGCUCAGGGUCAGGGAAGAAACGGAGUCUCUAAUAUAGGAUCU